GUGUUUCAGGAUACUGCCUACGAUUUUCUGAUUCCUUCUUUAUGAUAAAAGUUCAGAUGUUCCUCUAUUUCUUAUGAUGGCUGGUUGGUAAACAGCUUACAGGAAAUCAGAACUCAUCAGAUUAAAACUUCCUGUGAAAAACAUACCAAGUUUUCUGUUCAAGGGAUCAAACUCGGGACCUUGUGCUUGCGAGGCAGGCAGUAGAAUCACUGAGCUAAAUCCCUGGCCCCUAUGCUUCUUAUUUUUAAGAGCUUAAUGUAUUCUGAAAUCACAUCUCCCAUUCCUACAUCACUUUCUUUAAGGGAGUGUCAGUGAUACCUAUUUCACAGGCAGAUCAUCACAUUGCAACAUGCCUGUAUCAGGGUAAAACAAAAAUAGAAAACAAGAUAUUCACAGAGGUUAACACUCACCAAAGGCUUACUGAAGAUUCUGGAGGGAGGAACACAGCAAUGUCAGAAAUAACUAAGAUAACAGGUGACCUUCAGUGUUGUUUUUUUACAAAGCCAGAGACAGACCUGCUCAGUAGGAUGGACGGCAAAGGCUAUCUGGUAAAGGGCUGGAAACUCACACAACAUUUGUGGGCCUUUUGUGGAAGAGGCUGAUGGUUGGUAGAUA
RNAcentral lists this long non-coding RNA (615 nucleotides) under Heterocephalus glaber (naked mole-rat). RNAcentral describes it as "lncRNA (ENSHGLG00100041389.1)". Lineage: Eukaryota; Metazoa; Chordata; Mammalia; Rodentia; Bathyergidae. The record is from RNAcentral.